UCAGAGAAGAGAUUUAUCUUUCCGAUGGAAAUAAUCAGGCCCUAGAUUUCCCAAAGUGAUGACACCUCAUUCACCUCUCCCCACCCUACUCAUAUUCAUGUUCCCUUGCACGGUUCUUAGAAAUUGUAUUUUCAAUUGCCGUCAUGCGGAAAAUUCUCUUGUGAAAUAUCUCUUCCCUCAGACAGAUUGGAUGGUAACCAAACUUCAAAUCCAGCUUAAAAAACCGUAG
This 229-nucleotide long non-coding RNA is filed under the name Lathyrus oleraceus (garden pea). RNAcentral describes it as "Pisum sativum (pea) long non-coding RNA (PSAT_LNC030798)". Lineage: Eukaryota; Viridiplantae; Streptophyta; Magnoliopsida; Fabales; Fabaceae. The record is from RNAcentral.